This is a small nuclear RNA of Meriones unguiculatus (Mongolian gerbil), 107 nucleotides long. NCBI's taxonomy places the organism in Eukaryota, Metazoa, Chordata, Mammalia, Rodentia, Muridae. The record is from Ensembl.
GUGCUUGCUUAGGCAGCACAUGUACUAAAACUGGACAUACAGAGAGUAUUAGCAUGGCUCCUGCGCAAGGAUAUAACGUGUAAAUCUGUAAAGUGGUCCAUAUUUUU